GGGGCUAUAGCUCAGCUGGGAGAGCGCCUGUUUUGCACACAGGAGGUCAGCGGUUCAAUCCCGCUUAGCUCCACCA
This 76-nucleotide transfer RNA is filed under the name Candidatus Doolittlea endobia. RNAcentral describes it as "tRNA-Ala". It matches the Rfam family "tRNA". From Rfam's summary of the family: Transfer RNA (tRNA) molecules are approximately 80 nucleotides in length. Their secondary structure includes four short double-helical elements and three loops (D, anti-codon, and T loops). The record is from RNAcentral. Lineage: Bacteria; Pseudomonadati; Pseudomonadota; Gammaproteobacteria; Enterobacterales; Enterobacteriaceae.